RNAcentral lists this small nucleolar RNA (82 nucleotides) under Carlito syrichta (Philippine tarsier). Its description in RNAcentral is "Small nucleolar RNA SNORD115 (ENSTSYG00000026538.1)". It matches the Rfam family "Small nucleolar RNA SNORD115". From Rfam's summary of the family: HBII-52 is a member of the C/D class of snoRNAs, which contain the C (UGAUGA) and D (CUGA) box motifs. HBII-52 is encoded in a tandemly repeated array with another C/D snoRNA, HBII-85, in the Prader-Willi syndrome (PWS) region of chromosome 15. Lineage: Eukaryota; Metazoa; Chordata; Mammalia; Primates; Tarsiidae. The record is from Rfam by way of RNAcentral.
GGGUCAAUGAUGAGUACUUAAUAUUGCCUUGAGAAUUGGUGAUGACUUGAAUAGCAUGUACAAUGGCAUGAUGCUGAGGCCC